Molecule: ribosomal RNA, 809 nt
Filed under: Caulobacter sp. PD02
Lineage: Bacteria; Pseudomonadati; Pseudomonadota; Alphaproteobacteria; Caulobacterales; Caulobacteraceae
Description: bacterial SSU rRNA
Rfam family: Bacterial small subunit ribosomal RNA
Source: RNAcentral
CUUCGGGAUUAGUGGCGGACGGGUGAGUAACACGUGGGAACGUGCCCUUUGGUUCGGAACAACUCAGGGAAACUUGAGCUAAUACCGGAUAAGCCUUUCGAGGGAAAGAUUUAUCGCCAUUGGAGCGGCCCGCGUAGGAUUAGCUAGUUGGUGGGGUAAAGGCCCACCAAGGCUACGAUCCUUAGCUGGUCUGAGAGGAUGAUCAGCCACAUUGGGACUGAGACACGGCCCAAACUCCUACGGGAGGCAGCAGUGGGGAAUCUUGCGCAAUGGGCGAAAGCCUGACGCAGCCAUGCCGCGUGAAUGAUGAAGGUCUUAGGAUUGUAAAAUUCUUUCACCGGGGACGAUAAUGACGGUACCCGGAGAAGAAGCCCCGGCUAACUUCGUGCCAGCAGCCGCGGUAAUACGAAGGGGGCUAGCGUUGCUCGGAAUUACUGGGCGUAAAGGGAGCGUAGGCGGAUAGUUUAGUCAGAGGUGAAAGCCCAGGGCUCAACCUUGGAAUUGCCUUUGAUACUGGCUAUCUUGAGUACGGAAGAGGUAUGUGGAACUCCGAGUGUAGAGGUGAAAUUCGUAGAUAUUCGGAAGAACACCAGUGGCGAAGGCGACAUACUGGUCCGUUACUGACGCUGAGGCUCGAAAGCGUGGGGAGCAAACAGGAUUAGAUACCCUGGUAGUCCACGCUGUAAACGAUGAGUGCUAGUUGUCGGCAGGCAUGCCUGUCGGUGACGCAGCUAACGCAUUAAGCACUCCGCCUGGGGAGUACGGUCGCAAGAUUAAAACUCAAAGGAAUUGACGGGGGCCCGCACAAG